GCCCUAGUGGAGUAGCUCAGUUGGUUAGAGCAUUGGCCCAGUAUGCCAAAGUUGCAGGUUCAAUCCCUGGUCAGGGCA
Non-coding RNA from Phyllostomus discolor (pale spear-nosed bat), 78 nucleotides. The record is from the annotation of a RefSeq genome assembly. NCBI's taxonomy places the organism in Eukaryota, Metazoa, Chordata, Mammalia, Chiroptera, Phyllostomidae.